CCUCAACUACCACUAUUCUGCAUCAGAGAUCAAGCAGUGUUUGUUGACUGCAUUGGUGAUGGCGUGGCUGGAUUGCUGCACACACUGGGUGGCUUCUUACGAUCUUGAGAGCAGUAUCUGUGACCCAGCCAUGGAGGCCUUCUUUUCUGCAUAUUCAAACCGGGAACUUGGAUCUAGGCCCUUACCCUCGGAGGCGGCUUUCUAAUUUCUCCAACCCAUACGCCUUCUGGCGCCCUCGUGUGGCCCUGGUUGUUUUCUGGGCGAAUCUGUGGGGUCCCCUGAAGGUCUGGAAACUCCGCGCCGGUGGGGAUCAUCUUCUGCACAAUAGGCGCUCGCCAGCCACCACGCCUCGCCCAGUGAGGAGCAGCGGGAGCUACUGUGAGGCCCACAGAAAGACCUGGCUCAGCACUGGCCUUGGAAAAAACAGAGACCGGUUCCAGCCCAACCGAGGCGCCCCAUAUCCGGCCCUGGCCGCCCCAAGCAUUUUUUUUUUUUCUCCGCCAAGAUGGUGGGAGACCGGUCUCAGCUGGAAGGGGUGGAUGGAAGGUGCAGGGACUGUGGACAACGCCCCCGGGCGCGGCACACACGGCUAGAGUUGGGGCGAGCCGUGGAGAGCUGUCCUGCGGGUCCCGCUGCGUUGGGAGUUGUGGGUGCCCAAGGCCAAGAAGAGAAAGGCGGGAGGGGAGAGAGGCGGGGCUGUUCGGCAGCCAGCGGAAAUGGUGCGGGGAGUCAGCCCCUGGGGCCGCCCGGAGAGCUGGGAUGCGGCGCGGGCCACGUGCACCCGGGAGUACUUAGGGUGGCGGCGGCCCGCGUGUCGUGGGGGAGACCCUCUGUGGGAAGAGCCUUGCCGGUGCCUCUCUUCUCAGAAUUGAGACUAUUGACGUCCCAGGCGGGGCCGGCUUCUCCAAACCAGGCCAGGGGCUGCAGGGAGAAGAAUGCACCUGGUAUUGCUGCGGAUCGCAACCGCUCGGGCGCAAAGAUCAAGAGAGAGAGGUGGGGCUGACACGUCAAAGACAUUAUGAGGAAGAAGAUGAAACUCAAAGCAGAUCCCGGGAGAGAUGUCCUUUCAACCCCGUGUCUCUGCUAAAUGCCUUUUGGAUCCAAGCAGUGGAGCCCAUUGGAUGACUGGACUAACUCAGAGACUAUUACUGAGGCUUAUUAGGCUGGCAAAAAGAAUUCUAGCCAAAUCUUCCAGGUUAGAAGAGAAAUGACAGCUGCCCCUGAAGGGAUUCCCAGGAUGGAGCACAGCAACCAUCCUACAAAGGGUUAAUACUCCCCCUCCCCUGGCCCCCAACUUGCUGCCAGAGAUCAGCUAAUCUGAUAAUUACAGCAACAAACACAGUUUAGACAAACAAGACCUGACCCUGAGGGUUUGGAAUGAAAACAUUUACUCUCUCCCUCCCCAGAGAGACGGUGCCUGGAGCAUACACACAGAGACACUGGGAAAAUACCCCUGUGCUGGAGCGAGGGGUGAAAACAUCUGUGUUCCUGAGCUGCUUGGGAAGAUAGCUUUAAUGGGGAGGGGGUUCAGUGGGGGAGGCGGAGGAGUGGGCAGUGGUGCAGCGGGAGGGUGUGCAGGCUGGGAGCAGAUGGAACAUGUACCCAUAACUGGAGCUAUAAGCCAAUUGUAAUUGAUUUUUACAGCAGAGGCAGAGUGCAGGGAGAGGUACGUAGGAGACUCAGCGAUUCAGAAUUCUAGUGAAAAACCUGGAAAAUGGCUAAGUGGGGAGAAACAUCCUAUGACACCAAAGUGGGGUCUAUUGUUUUUAUUAAAAAAUGUUUUUAAUGUUUAUUUAUUUUUGAGAGAGAGAGAGGGAGAGAGAGCACGCAUGGGAGAGCGGGGGAGACACAGAAUCCAAAGCAGGGUCCAGGCUCUGAGCUGUCAGCACAGAGCCUGACUUGGGGUUCAAACCCAUGAACCAUGAGAUCAUGACCCCAGCUGAAAUUGAGCCUUAACCCACUGAGCCACCCAGGCACCUGAGGAUCUAUUCCUGAGAGCUAGAGGCGAAGAAUAUUCAAAACAGCCCGAUUCUAAGUCAAGUUGACAUCUGCCCACCAGGGAGUGAGGGGUUCAUCCUUUUCUCACCCCAAAAAUUUGGCUUCAAAUUCUGCCAGCUUCAAAACAUGUCAAACUAUUUCCCCCCCCUUUUACUUCUAAAUGCUGGUUCCUAGAAGAAACCUUUCCGGGUUGCUUAAACGGGAGGGGCUGAUGUGCCUUCAGUCUGGAAUUCCAGCAGUUACUCCUUCCCAACUCCACCCUCAUCAUUUCUUUCUUACACUUGGCUGAUGGUGUGUCAGCCCGUAAACGCUUCCUGGCCACUUUGAGCUCUCCAAAUUAUGGUGAGGCAUCCAAAUCCUUGGGGGAUUGCAGAUCACUGUAUGGAUUACACCCAGCUAAGAGGAAUAACUGUGAUUGAUGAUAGGAUCAAGGUUUAAAGUGAAUUCCAUAAGGUGAAAGAUGGUCUAAAAUCAAUAAGAUAGGAUGUGCCAAGAAUGUGAUGCACCGCAUUUAGGUCCAAUAAUCAACUGUACAAGUAUGAGAUGGAAAGACCUAGAAAACAAUAGUUUAUGUAAAAACAACAACAACAACAAAGCAAAACAUGUUUUGGCCAAUAACUGGUUCAAUAUGAGAUGAGCAUAUUUGCUUAAAAAGUAAGUAUUAAUAAAAGUAUUGUGAUCACAUUGA
Felis catus (domestic cat) is the source of this 2686-nucleotide long non-coding RNA. RefSeq lists it as uncharacterized. The record is from RefSeq and is a predicted model, not a curated record. Lineage: Eukaryota; Metazoa; Chordata; Mammalia; Carnivora; Felidae. The transcript is spliced from 3 exons.